Coregonus clupeaformis (lake whitefish) is the source of this 452-nucleotide long non-coding RNA. RefSeq lists it as uncharacterized. The record is from RefSeq and is a predicted model, not a curated record. NCBI's taxonomy places the organism in Eukaryota, Metazoa, Chordata, Actinopteri, Salmoniformes, Salmonidae. The transcript is spliced from 3 exons.
CUUGAAUCUGAAAGACUGCAUUGUGUCAGACCAAGGAGUAAGGCUGAUACUGGGCUCUCUGAAGAAUGUCAGACAUCUUGGGCCCUCCUCUGGUGAUUCAUCUGACCCCUCAAUGCUGUGUCAACUCUGGACAACUUUGCUGAGCAGUGUGGCAGAGAUGGACUUCACCAGCUUACUUGGUCUCUGUGGAAAUGAGUUGCACCUUCCAGUCCAGGGUGAAAGACGAGUGUUUGAGAGAGCAGAAGAAGUGAUGAAGCAGAGUCUAGAGAGGGUUCAUCUCUGUCUACACUGGGGUCAGAGAACUCUUCUCAGUGAAGCUCUCAGCAAAACCAUUUUAAAGUGUUUACCUAAUAUCAACAAACUCAGGUUUACCCCACUAGAACAUCAGAGAGGAUCCCCUGAAAGACUGGAGACAGAAGAGAAAGCAGUCCUACUAGAUUUGUGUCUACAAG